RNAcentral lists this ribosomal RNA (253 nucleotides) under uncultured bacterium. RNAcentral describes it as "partial 16S ribosomal RNA". It matches the Rfam family "Bacterial small subunit ribosomal RNA", at positions 524 to 776 of the family's 1533-position model. The record is from RNAcentral.
UACGGAGGAGGCAAGCGUUAUCCGGAAUCAUUGGGCGUAAAGCGUCAGUAGGUGGCCAAGUAAGUCUGCUGUCAAAGACCACAGCUUAACUGUGGAAAGGCAGUGGAAACUGCAGGGCUAGAGUACGGUAGGGGUAGAGGGAAUUCCAGGUGUAGCGGUGAAAUGCGUAGAGCUCUGGAAGAACACCGGUGGCGAAAGCGCUCUACUGGGCCGAAACUGACACUGAGGGACGAAAGCUAGGGGAGCGAAAGGG